Molecule: ribosomal RNA, 483 nt
Filed under: uncultured bacterium
Lineage: Bacteria
Description: partial 16S ribosomal RNA
Rfam family: Bacterial small subunit ribosomal RNA
Source: RNAcentral
AUUGAACGCUGGCGGCAGGCCUAACACAUGCAAGUCGAGCGGACGAAGGGAGCUUGCUCCUGGAUUCAGCGGCGGACGGGUGAGUAAUGCCUAGGAAUCUGCCUGGUAGUGGGGGAUAACGUCCGGAAACGGGCGCUAAUACCGCAUACGUCCUGAGGGAGAAAGUGGGGGAUCUUCGGACCUCACGCUAUCAGAUGAGCCUAGGUCGGAUUAGCUAGUUGGUGGGGUAAAGGCCUACCAAGGCGACGAUCCGUAACUGGUCUGAGAGGAUGAUCAGUCACACUGGAACUGAGACACGGUCCAGACUCCUACGGGAGGCAGCAGUGGGGAAUAUUGGACAAUGGGCGAAAGCCUGAUCCAGCCAUGCCGCGUGUGUGAAGAAGGUCUUCGGAUUGUAAAGCACUUUAAGUUGGGAGGAAGGGCAGUAAGUUAAUACCUUGCUGUUUUGACGUUACCAACAGAAUAAGCACCGGCUAACUUCGU